Molecule: ribosomal RNA, 468 nt
Filed under: uncultured bacterium
Lineage: Bacteria
Description: partial 16S ribosomal RNA
Rfam family: Bacterial small subunit ribosomal RNA
Source: RNAcentral
GACGAACGCUGGCGGCGUGCUUAACACAUGCCAGUCGAACGGAAAGGCCCUGCUUUUGUGGGGUGCCCGAGUGGCGAACGGGUGAGUAACACGUGAGUAACCUGCCCUUGACUUUGGGAUAACUUCAGGAAACUGGGGCUAAUACCGGAUAGGAGCUCCUGCUGCAUGGUGGGGGUUGGAAAGUUUCGGCGGUUGGGGAUGGACUCGCGGCUUAUCAGCUGGUUGGGGGGGUAGUGGCCUACCAAGGCUUUGACGGGUAGCCGGCCUGAGAGGGUGACCGGCCACAUUGGGACUGCGAUACGGCCCAGAGUCCUACGGGAGGCAGCAGUGGGGAAUAUUGCACAGUGGGCGGAAGCCUGAUGCAGCAACGCCGCGUGCGGGAUGACGGCCUUCGGGUUGUAAACCGCUUUCGCCUGUGACGAAGCGUGAGUGACGGUAAUGGGUAAAGAAGCACCGGCUAACUACGUG